GACGAACGCUGGCUGCGUGCUUAACACAUGCAAGUCGAACGGAAAGGCCCUGCUUGCAGGGUACUCGAGUGGCGAACGGGUGAGUAACACGUGGGUGAUCUGCCCUGCACUUCGGGAUAAGCCUGGGAAACUGGGUCUAAUACCGGAUAGGAGCCAUUUUCAGUGUGAUGGUUGGAAAGUUUUUUCGGUGUAGGAUGAGCUCGCGGCCUAUCAGCUUGUUGGUGGGGUAAUGGCUUACCAAGGCGGCGACGGGUAGCCGGCCUGGGAGGGUGGACGGCCACAUUGGGACUGAGAUACGGCCCAGACUCCUACGGGAGGCAGCAGUGAGGAAUAUUGCACAAUGGGCGCAAGCCUGAUGCAGCGACGCCGCGUGGGGGAUGACGGCCUUCGGGUUGUAAACUCCUUUCGCUAGGGACGAAGCUUUUUGUGACGGUACCUAGAUAAGAAGCACCGGCUAACUACGUG
This 465-nucleotide ribosomal RNA is filed under the name uncultured bacterium. Its description in RNAcentral is "partial 16S ribosomal RNA". It matches the Rfam family "Bacterial small subunit ribosomal RNA", at positions 28 to 507 of the family's 1533-position model. The record is from RNAcentral.